RNAcentral lists this ribosomal RNA (445 nucleotides) under uncultured bacterium. RNAcentral's name for it is "partial 16S ribosomal RNA". It matches the Rfam family "Bacterial small subunit ribosomal RNA", at positions 354 to 796 of the family's 1533-position model. The record is from RNAcentral.
GUAGGGAAUAUUGGGCAAUGGAUGCAAGUCUGACCCAGCCAUCCCGCGUGCCGGAAGAAGGCCCUCAGGGUUGUAAACGGCUUUUGACGGUGAAGAAUCGACAGGAUGCGUCCUGUUUUGACGGUAGCCGUUGAAUAAGCACCGGCUAACUCCGUGCCAGCAGCCGCGGUAAUACGGAGGGUGCGAGCGUUGUCCGGAUUUAUUGGGUUUAAAGGGUGCGGAGGCUGGAUGGUCAGUCAGCGGUGAAAAGCUGUCGCUUAACGAUAGUCUUGCCGCAGAUACUUCCUUUCUUGGAUGAGGAGGAGGCCACUGGAACGGAUGGUGUAGCGGUGAAAUGCAUAGAUAUCAUCCAGAACACCGAUUGCGAAGGCAGGUGGCUGUACCUUAAUCGACGCUGAUGCACGAAAGCAUGGGGAGCAAACAGGAUUAGAUACCCUGGUAGUCC